UACGGGGGGGGCAAGCGUUGUUCGGAAUUACUGGGCGUAAAGGGCUCGUAGGCGGCCAACUAAGUCAGACGUGAAAUCCCUGGGCUCAACCCAGGAACUGCGUCCGAUACUGGCAGGCUUGAAUCCGGGAGAGGGAUGCGGAAUUCCAGGUGUAGCGGUGAAAUGCGUAGAUAUCUGGAGGAACACCGGUGGCGAAGGCGGCAUCCUGGACCGGCAUUGACGCUGAGGCGCGAAAGCCAGGGGAGCAAACGGG
This 253-nucleotide ribosomal RNA is filed under the name uncultured bacterium. RNAcentral's name for it is "partial 16S ribosomal RNA". It matches the Rfam family "Bacterial small subunit ribosomal RNA", at positions 524 to 776 of the family's 1533-position model. The record is from RNAcentral.